UGCUGAGUUAAUACUAGUCGGGUCUUUUGAUGUCUUCUGUGCUUUCUUUUUGCUUUUUGAGUCUACUGAAACCGCAGUACUUGUGCGGUUUCCUCUAUCGGUCGUCCAGCUAUUUUUUAGUACUGCAUCUGUAAAACCAUAUGUGAUCCUAGUACCCUGUUCUUCCCAAUUCUCGAUGCUUGGUGCAGUCUUAACCUUCUCAAUAUUCAGUUUGAGCGAUAAGGUAGUGCUGUUUCUGUCAGUGCAGGUUUGGCAAUUACUCGAUGUUUGCUACCCUGUUGUUCCCAAUUCAUAAUGCUUGUUGCAGUCUAAGGGGUUGUUUGGUUUGUGACUAACUUUAGCAAAGAUUAUCACACCUAAUGUUAGGCAAGUUUGACCCUUAGAUAAGUGUUUGUUCGAGCCACAGUUGUGUUCCAUAUGGCAUACACACAAAAAGCAUGGCAAUAUUUUCUUAGGCCGCUAACUUGUGGCUUUCAUUUUGAUGAAUGAACUAAUCUUAGAUAAACUUGGCAAAAUAUGUCAAUGCUAGGCCUAGAACCAAACAGCUCCUAAAUCUCUUCAAUAUCGAGUUUCAGUGAUAAUGUAUUGUGAUUAUUGUCGCUCCAGGUUUGGCAAUCACUCGUGCAUUAAAAUAUCAGGCUGAAUUUGCUUGGACACUAUCAGCUUUUUGUAAGUAAUUGACAGAAAUUCUCAUUAGCGGCCUAUUGCGGACCACAGAAGUUAUGUAGGUGAAAACUCAAGUUUUGGAUUUUUCAAAAACCACCUCCAUGGAGCUUGGCCUUCAAAAGAAUUUUCAAAAGCUAACUAUAUAAAAAUAAAAAGACAAACCGCUUGUAGCCAGAUUCAGAUUGUGCAACCGUUAGAGAAAGCUGCAGGCGGGUUCCGUUCUGUCCUGAUGUCCGAGAAGCUGUGUCUUCUCUCUCUCUAUCUCUUUUGUUGUUGCGAAAGCAAAGCCUUCUCUGCUUUCGGUGCCAGUUGAGAAUAUUCGCGCUAUCGGAUUGGACUUUGCUGAGAUUCAUGCUGGUAUAGGGUACUAAAGCGUCCAUCCAGCACAGAUGCUGAUGCAAAGCGAGCAACUUUUCCGAGGAGGUUGCCCUCCUCCUUCCAUUCCCUCGCAGUUUAUUUUGACUAAAUGACUGCUCCUUCCAUCAAUAUAAAUAGGGUCUAAUGUGCUUUUUAAGAUUGCCUUUGACUAUUGAUAAGAUUUUUUUUUAAGACAUACCAUAGCUUUAUAGAAGGGAGAAAAGUAUUUACAAGAGAUUAUAUUUCGCUAGGUAGGCAUCACACACCGCCGUACCAUAGCCUUCACACACAACCCUAGCCAACUACUCACAAGAAGUAGCUACUCCGGUAGUCCCGGCCCUAGUCCACAUUUCAAGCUCUUGCCAGACUAGGUCCUCUGUGUCCCCUUCGUUCUGUAAAUCCGUUCGUGCAAACACCCCGCCGUUGCGUUGUUUUCAUAAGUUCCAGCAUAUCGACGUGACCACGGAGUCAAAACCCUUUUGAUGCAUUUUAGGCAUGCGCUUCCUCGCUCCCGACCACCAUUCUCCAAUUCUAUCUUGUGCCGAGGGACAAAGCGCCAGAUCAAUCCCCAUUCGGACAAAACACAUGUACCAGACUUGUCAAGAGAAGACACACUGCAUCGUGAUGUGGUCCACCGUGUCUUCCUCUUGCUCACAUAGAAAACACGGUGAUUUCUCCUCCUGCAACCCAUGUCUCCAUCUCCUGUCCGACGUCCAAAGUCUGUACUGGAUUGCGAGCCACAUGAAACAAUUUGCAAACUAGUGGAGCCCAACACUUCCAAAUAGCAGAAAAUGCUGGAAUCUAACCCCACCAAUACACAUCAUGCUAUAUGCAGAUGAGGCCGUGUAUUUUCCUUCCCUGUUCCAGUCCCAAACAGGCUUAUCCUGCGUGUCUGGGACCACUUGCACCUCCAUCAGAAUCUCGCACAACCUAAUGAAUUGUGCCAACCCAUCCGUGUCAAGCUCACCGCUAAUAUCCUCCAUCCAGGCCUGCAUCCAUAAUGCAUCCUUUACACAUCUUUUAUUGGCAAUUUGUGUUCUGACACGACCGAAAACCCGUGGCGUCAGUUCCUGAAUUGUUGUCCCAUUGAUCCAACGAUCCGUCCAGAAAAACACCUUUGUGCCAGCACCCAAUUGCCACUUCACCAGACUGCCGAACGCCGCACAAACCUGUUUAUCUGGUCUCCAAUUCAGACCCUGCCAUAGCCUAGACUCGUCAGUUCUCCAUAACCAUGCCCAUCUCAACCUUAGGGCAAUUCCUUGCUUGCAAAGGUCAAUGACACCCAGCCCUCCCAGCUCUUUAGGCCAGCAAACUCUAUUCCAGGAUACCAAGCAUCUGCCCCCAUGCACCUGUUCUGACCCGGCCCAAAAAAAUGCUCGACAUCCUUUAUCAAUACUGUCAAGUGCCCACUUGGGAGCCUCUGCAACAAUGAGAUAGUGCGUCGCCCUAGCUCUCAUGACUUGGUUCACCAAGAUCAGCCUCCCUGGCCGUGUCACCAGUCCUCGUUACCAUCCUGGGAGAAUGUGCAACGCUGCAUCUACCAUAGGUUGCCACUCCGAUCGCUUAAGCUGCUUGAUGCUCAACUGUAAGCCGAGGUACUUACACGGAAAGGACUCCAUCUUCCAUGGCAGACCAUCCCGGACUAACUGCUCAUCUUCCGGAUCAGCCCUGAUCAUAAUUGAGGCAGACUUCGCAUAGUUGAUUUUCAAACCUGAGGCUUCGCCAAAAAUGCCAAGCACUUCUCUCACAAAGUGCAAGUCUGAUAUGUUUGGCUUGAUAAACAAGACCACAUCAUCCGCACAUAAGGACAAUCUCUGCAAUGGGGUGCAUCUAUUCAUUUUACUAAAAACCUCCGAGUCAUGCGCCUUGAUCACAAUGUUCGUGAGAACAUCCAUGGCAAUGACAAAAAGCAAGGGUGAAAUUGAAUCCCCUUGUCUUAAACCCUUUGCAUGCAUGAACUUGGCUCCCACCGAACCAUUCACAAUCACUCCUGAGCUAGCCGAGGUAAGAAGAGUGGCAACCCAAGCAAUCCAACGUUCCGAGAACCCUUUUGCUCUCAACACUUCAAAAAGAAAA
This 3099-nucleotide long non-coding RNA is filed under the name Triticum aestivum (bread wheat). RNAcentral describes it as "long non-coding RNA (TAES_LNC000147)". The record is from RNAcentral. Lineage: Eukaryota; Viridiplantae; Streptophyta; Magnoliopsida; Poales; Poaceae.